Quercus lobata is the source of this 859-nucleotide long non-coding RNA. RefSeq lists it as uncharacterized. The record is from RefSeq and is a predicted model, not a curated record. The transcript has 3 exons. NCBI's taxonomy places the organism in Eukaryota, Viridiplantae, Streptophyta, Magnoliopsida, Fagales, Fagaceae.
AAUAGACCCCACUCAACCCUUCAUUUCUCUACUUGGCCGUCUCAGAACCUUAGCUACCAAAAACUUAGAAAUGCCUUCCACGUUUCCACAGCGAAAACAAAGUUUUCAAAUGGGUUAAGCAGUGAUACACACACCCCGCCAAAGUUUUCAAAGUCAUCAAAGCCAUAUUUCAGUAAAAAAAAAAAAAAAAAAACAAAGAGCCAAACCGUCGCGAUUAAGCUCAACGGCGCCGUCGCGAUUAAGCUCCCACCAUCGCCGUUGAACUCCCACCGUCACGAUUAAGCUCAAACCGUCGCCGAUGAAGCUCAAACCGUCGCCGAUGAAGCUCCGUUAAGAGCCAACCGUCGCCGAUUAAGCUCAACGGCGACCAUUCGCAUUCUCGGCGACCGUUCGCCUUCCUUCAAAUCGGCGACCAUUCGCCUUCCCGGCGACCGUUCGCCUUCCUUCGAAUCGGCUACCGUUCGCCUUCACCGAACUUCGACUUCGUUGCUUCAUUCUCAAAUCGUCAAACAUGGAUAAAAGUUGGAUGACAAUGGGUAAGACACCCGAUGGCAGAUUAAGUCAUCCAUAUAUUAAAGUGGUCAAUGCAUUUAUUAAUUUUGCAAGGGUAGUUGUGGACGUGAGUGGUAAUAUUCCAUGCCCGUGUAUUCAUUGUGGGAAUUACUAUCGACAAGGGUAGUUAAAACACUUUUUUAUUUCUUAUUGGUGACUUUUAGGAGAUUUACUUUUGGCAUUACUUGAAGACAUAUGAGAACAUCUUCCAUUAGUUCUAAAAUAGGGUUUAGGUAGAGUUAUUGUAUGUAUUGCAAACAAUUAUUGUAUGGAAGGAGUUUGAAUUAUAUACUUGUUUUAUUUUUUA